ACGAUUCAAAUUUACAAAUUAGCCUUUGCAUUUUGUAAGAUUUCCACCUGCGCUUCUUUGUUCAUCUUAUCCAGUGAAAGAGAAGGUGGAACGGGGACAGCGGCGGCUGGGCUCUCGUCGGCGCGGAAGGUGUCCGGCUCUCCCCUCUGCCUCCGGCCCUCUCGGCCUCUCCUCGGCCUCCGGCGUCCCCGGUCCCUCGAUCCUUUAUUCAAAAAAAAAACGCCUACAUCUUAUCCAGAUGCUGUCGGUCCUUGACCUGCCGUCCGUGCGGCACGGUGGCGUCCUUGUCGGCGGCGGAGACGGCAUCCUUGUCGGCGGCGGAGACGGCUACGGAUGCAGAGGAGGAUGAGAAGGCGUCCGACGUGCCUUGCGCGGGAGGACGGAGGACGCCUCGCCUGGGCGUGUGCUCGGUGAGGGGCGGCGCCCUUGCCGGCGUUGCCGGCGGCGGAGACGGCUUCUGCUGCGCGGCGGGCUGGAGCAUGGGGGGUAGUUGUCGGGCAACAUGAGGAGGCAGAGGCGGCCAAGGCAAUGAGGCACGGCGUCGGCUAGCCAAGGGGCGGCCGGAGCAGAGGACGUCCACUUCCCCAGUCUGCGCACUCAUCACGGCAAGGCUAAUUCGAGUUAGCAACUUGGAGUAAUCACGUUCUCUCUAAUACUGUGUGCAGACCUAUCAUGUUUUCUGAAUUUCUGCCUGCAGCCCAAGUGCUACCAUGUUCCCUGAUAAAUUUCUUACUCUGAAUUUUUAUGUGCUUCCAUGUUCUGUACAUGUACAUGUACUCUGAAAUUCAUUCUAUCUUGUGCAGUCAGUAUUGGGUGUAUACUCAUGACUUCCAAAGCGCCACUUGAUGUAAAAAAUCAUAUGCACAAUGCUGCAAGCUUGGCUAAAGGUGGAUCUUUUUGCGAUCCUAUAUAGCAUGUUGUUGGAUGUGGCCGGGGUUUUUGUUGGUAAUUGUUGCGGGAGCAAGCAAAGGAGCCUGGCUUGGUACAUAUGGGUUAAUUGUUCUUGAUCAAUUGUCGUGCGUUAAUUGUUAGGUCUGGUAACAUCCUGCUCCCCUGUCUGAUUUGGGUUGAAUUCAUGACCGUGGCCUUCUCCAACAGAAAUCAGUGGAGUGCCCGACCCGGAUUGAAUUUCGCUGCUAUAAGAAGGAAGGGUCCUUGGCCGAAAUCUCCAUCAGGUUGCGUACUUGGACCAGAAAAUCCAUCAAAUCCCGGAGUACUUGGACCAGAAAAGCAUCGUGUCGCCUUCAAGUUCGCCGGAGGAAGAAGUGCCGAGUUUGCCGGAGGUAGAAGAACAUCCGUCGAGCCGUCCAAUAUCGCCAAUGGCGGGCUACACCAGAGGUUUUUUUCGUGACUAAUAAUAAGGGUUGGAUGAAGCAAAUCAGACACACUUCUAAGGUUAGUCUCCUUGAUCUUUUUCUACUCACGUGAGCAACUAAUGUUUGCUUCUCUUCGGUCCAGGUCAUAAAACUGAGGGUUGUUACUAGCAAAUUGUGACUGUUUAAUUGACGCCGUGAUUUUUUCUAAAAGAAAAAAAAUUGAGAAUAUGAUGUGUUGUCCAUGUGAAUACUAAAAAUAUAUGUUUACGACGUUGAUGUUAACCAGUUAAUAUAUUUAUGCACACGGUACAACACAUAGUCAUUUUUCUAUAUGUGGUAAAAAACGUUUUACACAGGGCAAUCCCCCAACUGGGCCGACUCAUGCAGUAGGACAUCCUAUACUGUGCUCUAUGCGCUCUAGGAGAAGACGCAGCACGCCUGUUUGGGCCGGUCCAUGUCCAAGCGGCCUGUUUUUUUCUGCUUUCUUCUUUCUACUUUAAAUAAUUCUGGACUUCAAAAAGUUCUCAAAUUAAAAGAAAUGGGAAUUCUGAAAUAUUUUUUUAAAUAAAUCAUAAAAUAUUUGUGGCCUCAAAAAGUGUUCACAAUUUUCUAAAAAAUGUUUGCUUAUUCAAAAAAUGUUCGAAACUUUGAAAACAAAUGUUCCAUAAAUCAAAAAAUGUUCAUGAUUUUUUGAAAAGGUCAUGUAUGAAAAAUGUUAAUGAAAUUGAAUAAAAAUUUGCCAAUUUAAAAAAUGUUCAUGAAUGAACAAAUAUCUUAAAAAUUAAAAAAUCGUUUGUGACUUACAAAAUAGUUUAUUCAUGCAUAAAAUGUUCGCUGAUUCAAAAGAGAUUAUGCAUUUCAGAAAAUGUUCGUUAAGUAAAAAAUAUUCAUGAAUUUCAAAAGAAAUCCCACCAAUUUCCAAAACAAUGUUCAUCCACUCAAGAAAUGUUCGCCGAUUCAAGAAAUGUUUUUUAAAUGUUUGCAAAUUUUUAAAAAUGUUUGCAAAUAAUAUAAAAUAUUCAUGAAUUUGAAAAAUAUCCUUAAUUUUUGAAAUUGAUCAAAAAUUUGUAGAGUGUUCAUGAACUUGAAAAAUGACCACGGUUUCAAAUAUGUUUAUGCGUUUAAAAUGUGUUCAUGAUUUCACAAAAUUGAGAGUGGUAUUGUAUCUGGGUAAUGCAGCAAAAUGUGAUCAUAGCCAUUAAAGAUUAUAAAAAAAAAUUCCGUUGCAAAGCACGGGCCCUUUUGCUAGUAAUAAUAAAGUACGGAUUGAGUCUCUGGGUUCACCGUCGCGACGUUUUUCAAAAAACGUCUCUGUGAUUUAGGGUAAUACAACCCGCAGUCCACAAUUAAGUGAAAAACGUUUCGUUCGGCAUGUUUUUCAGAAAAACACCUCAUAUUUUACAUAAUCAGCCCGCAGUCCACGAUUAAGUGAAAAACGUUUCGUUCGGCAUGUUUUUCAGAAAAACACCUCAUAUUUUACAUAAUCAGCCCGCAGUCCAUCAACACCUCUUUCCUCCUGAGUUAGGUUCCGAGCGAGAUGGGGCCGCGAUCCAGACAACGCUGGGCGCGGCGGCGGCGAUCUCCGGCCAGAUCCGGUCGAGGAGUCGAGGCAGGUCCGGAUCCUGUUUAGGGGACGGUGUGGAGGCGAUCUACGAAGCGCGGGAGGAGGUCAGGCGGCGGGGCUUGAACUCCAAGUUCAUGGCGGCGGCGUUCCUCGCCGGUUCCGACCGAGAUGGGGAGCUCUGGCGGAGUCUCUCCAUGGAUAUGGUGGCCCUGCACCUGUGAGGGACAGAGGGGAGGAGAGGACGCGAGAAGCGGCGGGAAAGUUCUGGUGGUGCCCGUCUCCUGCAACAGCUCUCUUGAGUACGGUCAGAGAGAGAGAGCCGGGAGGAAGAAGGAAAGGAAGGAGACUUCAGGAAGGGGCGGCGGGAUCCUGCGGGGCUGGGUUGGAGCCCCGGUGGUAGCUUGCUCCGGUGGUGCUACUGCUGCUGCUGGACGACAGCCGAUGGGACAAGGCCUAGGUAAGAGGAAAAACAUGUGCUGCAUUGACACAUUUGAUGCAGAGUAGCCACUGUAAGUUCCUCUCCCUUCUCUAAUUAGUAUUGAGAUUCCAUUGAUAUUUGAUGGAGAGCAGCCACCAAAAGUUCCUCUUUUGAUGCACCGAAAACAGCUCUCUCUCUAAUUUAUUCUCAGCUACAGAAUGACAUGUAUCUAUGCUACUUACUAAUGUGAUGGAUAAUGCAUGUGGAUUGAUUCAUGAAUUAGCAAAAUAUUUCAUUUGAGAUGUGCUAGAGAACGGUUUUGAUCUAACUGAAUAAUACAAAGUAUUUUAGUUCUGAUGGUAAUAGACGAGCAACUUUAGUUGUAUUUGGUUUCAGUUUUUGUUUUCAGUAUAUGUUGGUCAGGAUUCAACUUUGUUUAUGUCCAUGUUUUGCUGGUAUAAUGCAUCACCAAGCUUUCUUUUUGUAUGAUGAUAUUGUGUAAAUCAGCAUAUGGAUGUGGAAAAUAUUCUUAGCGGCAUUAGCCUAGACAAGGAUGUUGAUGGUUAAUUGUUUACAUCCCUUAAACAUUGGUAAUGUUGCCCUUAGAAGCUGGAAACCUAUGAUUGUUUCUUGCGCUACAAUAUGGAUUUAUCUCAUGGAAAGCACGCGUGGUGAAAGAAAGGUAUUAGCCAAUCCUACAAGUUUUGGUUUAUUUUUCGGAUAGUCCUUUUUGACUGAUUAAUCAUGUGUGACGUUUCAUGCAGUGAUCUGUCCUAACCAGGAAGACAACACUGAGGGUGGCGGAUGUUUGCUAUGAGGUGGUGUAUGUACGUGCUACACCUCAUGGCCGUGGCCUGCUUCCUGCAAGCCAAUUUACUGCUUCUUCCGAGGUCAUAUAGUGAUGCUAUGGCACUGAGAAUCUGAAGGUUAGUAAUUCUAUUCUAUUCUUCUCUAUUAAGAACAGUGUUAUUUUUCAUGAUUUAGUGACUGCUGAGUGCUAAUAAAUUAAUUCAAUCAUAUUGGGCCAUCUGUUAUAGAGCUAAACGAACCAUCUGAAGUGGGAUGCAUUGCAUUUUCCCAACAGAAUUUACAGUAGCACCAAGAAGGGUUGUGUCCAUCAUCCUCAUCAUGUCCGAUCUAGGCCGCCGGAGCACCAAGUCGCUGGCCUAUUCUAACAAGUCCAGGCCCUCGAGGCAGCCCUUCUCGCCGUGGAAGGAGACCCCGAUCUGUAGGAACGUCGGGCAUGGUCCCGUAAUUAACAACAAGACUCUCCUCUGUCCAUCCGCAUAACUCCCAUGAAGAAAAAUCUCUAAACUCCAGUCACCACCUUUAUGUCGAUCUAAGCGGUGGAGAGUUUGGUAUGGUGGCAAAUCAAGCAACUGCAGAUGGAGUCAUUCCAUGUUACUGCAUUGAGUUAGCAUACGCGGCAUGGAUGAUAGAUCAAACCCAAGUGAUUUGGUUAUUUAGAACAAAAUCUAAGACUUGACCAAAUGAAAUUGGUAUUUUGUUGAACUGAACGACACACAUAUUGCCUAACCAUAAUUAUGUUACCUAUCACGACCUCAUGUGCUCCUGAAGCAAGCUGAUGUGUGUUGUGUGUACACGUUGUACACUGAAUUGUUCAUGCGAAAAGAUACAGCAGUAGAUACAAUCUACGCCAUGGAGCCGCUAGUGGGGCUCGAUGAGGACGAGCGCUAGAAGGAGGUGUGCAUGAUGCCCAAACGUGGCGUCGAGGCCUUCCACAUCCGCACCCAAGCCGCGUCACUACCAAGCUGCUACAAGCAUACAGGGCCUUCCGUGUUCAAGCUGAAAAGGCAAGAAGAUCUCAUUAUUAACAUGGAUAAAAAAGGUGGAACGUCUUCUUCAGUAGAAUUACACAAUGGUUGGCUGAAGCUUUGGAUUGCUAAAGUACCAAGAAAGGUAAAAAUCCAUCUUUGGUGUAUUUAUUUUCAGAGAAUUUAUGUUGGAGAUGAGCUUAAGAGAAGAAAGUAUAUAGAUAUGGUAAGUUGUUCUUACUGCUUCAAGGGGGAAGCAUUUAUCACUGCUUUUGGGGUUGUAUUUAUGUCAGAUUCCUGGAGGAAGCUGUUAGUAAUUUGUGAUUUCUCGUGAUCUAAAAUUGUCGAUCGGAAAUUUUCUUCAUCGAAGCCCAUUCCAAUCGCCAACAAUUCUGUUUGCACACUCAGGUUUGUGCUUUUCUAUGGUGAUUUAUUAAACAUACUUUGGCUUAUGAUCCCCUUUGACGUACACUUGUGCCCUCCACUACACAUUAUUUUCAGUUUGCCAAAUACUGUAGUAGGUAAUGAACUACAGAAAGCGGAUUGUUGAGUUUACCAAGCAUAAUGGCACACCUAAUUUUGGCAAAUCACCUGAAGAGUAUUUCAAGCAAAGAUGCGUUGAGAUUUUCACAUGACUAUAUGAGGUUACCAUAAACUCAUGUAUUGCCACAAUAGCUUCUUUUAAUGCAAUAGGGAAUUGUCUUUUUUUGUAUCAGGUAAAUAGUUCCUUUCUCACACUUUUUUCAGACCGAGAUCGUGUGCUGCUGCUGUGUGGUGUUCUAUUUCUGCUGUAUUCUUUUUGCUUUUUUGGGGGGCUUCUUCUCAUUCUUCUUUGGCACCUACGCUCUACUUGGGGAAACUUUGUACAUGGCAAUACAUAGAUUGGAAUUGAGAUUUGGAGCAAUUUUGUUCGUUUUCCUGUGUACCGAUGUUGCCAUUAUUUGUGCGAUGAUGCCAUUAUAUUGUACAAAGGGAAGAGACAGUUAGAGAGAUGGAUAGAAAUUACUAGCUACUGUAUUUGUGUUGUAAUUGUUUAUUAUUAAAGCUUAUUGUUUAUUGGUUGUUAUUGCAGAUUGUUGGGAUAUAAAGUCAAUUUUGAUUAUUUCAAACUA
This is a long non-coding RNA of Triticum aestivum (bread wheat), 6185 nucleotides long. RefSeq lists it as uncharacterized. NCBI's taxonomy places the organism in Eukaryota, Viridiplantae, Streptophyta, Magnoliopsida, Poales, Poaceae. The record is from RefSeq and is a predicted model, not a curated record. The transcript has 4 exons.